AAAAUAGUAUAAAUGCACAUUAAAAAAAUAAAAAAAUUUCAGGUGAGAUCAAAAUACCUCUCUAAUUAUGACGAAGGUGGCGAAAGUGACAAUGUGCUGGCGUUGACGAUAACAAUAUGCUACGAUGUACUGGUGCUAGCGAUGGGGACAUAUGAAAAAUAUUUGAGAAAAAUAUAGGUGAAAAUAAAAAAGAUGUUACUAAAAAAAAUAUGUCUUUAAAAAAAUAUAUUCUGUGUAUGAAUAAAUAUUAUGAUGAAAUAAAGAUUGGAUAGUGUAGAUAUUAUAUGCAAAGAUAUGUAGAUAUUAUAUGCGAGUGUAUUAAGAUAUGUUCAAUAUUUGAGAAAUGCAUAAGAUAUUUUGGCGGGUAUUACUUUUGAAUAUUUUACUAAAAAAAAUUUAAAAAUAUAAAAUUAUAUUUAAUUAAUAAUUUAGUUUUGCUUAGGUGGGUAUUAAAUCUUUUUAGUAAUAUUUUACAUGAUUGGCCCAAGUAUUACGUGUGAGAAAGAAAAUAUUUGAAAAACACGUAAAUAGGAGAUAACGGAUAUUUUAAGAGAAAACAUGUGUGAGAAACAAAAUUUUUAAGGAACCUGUAGAUAUGAUAUAACGGAUAUUUUAAGUUACGACGGGAAUUACGUUUGAGAAAAUGCGUAGAUAUUUGUAAAACGCGACGGGUAUUUUUGUCAAGAAAAGUGACAGAUACUUUUAUUUUUAACCGUUGGAUGAGAUCUAAUGGUAAAAAUUUAAGAUCUAUAUUUAAGAAUAAAUUAUUAUUUGAAAAAUUAUUUGAAACGAAUGGUUGCAAAUUACUGGAUAUAAAAAUAUUAGUAGAAAAGAUAGAGGUAUUUUUGGAAAGGAAAAAAUUUCAAAACUCACGCUUUUAUAAGUAGUAUA
This 891-nucleotide long non-coding RNA is filed under the name Ananas comosus (pineapple). RNAcentral describes it as "long non-coding RNA (ACOM_LNC030832)". Lineage: Eukaryota; Viridiplantae; Streptophyta; Magnoliopsida; Poales; Bromeliaceae. The record is from RNAcentral.